This 624-nucleotide unclassified non-coding RNA is filed under the name Hevea brasiliensis (rubber tree). Lineage: Eukaryota; Viridiplantae; Streptophyta; Magnoliopsida; Malpighiales; Euphorbiaceae. The record is from RNAcentral.
AUAAGUUAUAGUUGCUAACCUUCACUGUUUUUCCAUAUGGAUCAGAAUAUGGCAUUCAUUUCCUGCAGUUGCAUAUUUUCACAAGAUAUGUUCCCAACACAUGUUUCCCCCUUUUCCAAGGAAAGACUAGUUGUUAAUGAAUCCAUUAGAACUGAAACUAACAGCCAUUAUAAGGGAUUCUUGGAAGAAAUAGUUUUGGAACUGAAGCCAUUAUAAGCAGUUUUUGUCACAUGGGUUUAGGUUCUGAUUAUGCAAAUUCUCAUCUUUGGUUCCCCUGGCUAAAUCUGUUGUCUUUCCACAGGUGUUCUUAUCUCCAUCUUGAGGAUAACCACAAAGGCACCACUCCCACAAACCCCCAAGGUCUCCGAACAAGUGCCCACUUCUAUUUUAUAGUUACCGUAAUUAUUCUGAUGUGCUGCACUCUCUGUUGCAACUUCUUGUACAAUUUACCAGUUAUGGAACAGUAUUUCAAGCUUCUGUCAAAUGAUAAUUCAGCGACUUCAAGGCCAACAUUUUGAGCUGUUGCAAGAAAAAUCCAGUGGCCAGUUUUUAGGAUUCUCAUAAUUUAUGUUGUGACUCUUCUAAUUUUCCCUGGAUUCUUAGCUGAAAGUCUUGCAUCCAAGU